UGUGGUGGCGAUAGCCGGAAGGAUACACCUGUUCCCAUGCCGAACACAGAAGUUAAGCUUCCGCGCGCCGAAAGUAGUUGAGGGAUCGCCCUCUGCGAGGAUAGGUUGUUGCCACGC
This 117-nucleotide ribosomal RNA is filed under the name Klebsiella pneumoniae. The record is from RNAcentral. Lineage: Bacteria; Pseudomonadati; Pseudomonadota; Gammaproteobacteria; Enterobacterales; Enterobacteriaceae. RNAcentral also lists the same sequence under 2 other names.